Non-coding RNA from Acanthosepion pharaonis, 106 nucleotides. The record is from the annotation of a GenBank genome assembly. Lineage: Eukaryota; Metazoa; Mollusca; Cephalopoda; Sepiida; Sepiidae.
UACGGUCAUAUUGCGUUGAAAACCGUUCCCGUACGACCACCGAAGUUAAGCAACGUCGAGCCUAGUCUGUACCUAGAUGGCUGACCGGUUCGCAAUACCAGGUGCU